Molecule: long non-coding RNA, 646 nt
Organism: Alligator sinensis (Chinese alligator)
Lineage: Eukaryota; Metazoa; Chordata; Crocodylia; Alligatoridae
Exons: 3
Source: RefSeq, a predicted model, not a curated record
CAGCCAUGGACAAAGCACCACCCAGCUAGAGCUGCUGCUCAGAACUGCUUGGAGAUGGACACAUCAGGCAGGGCCCUCGGGGCUAUACAGCUGCCAAAAUGGGGGGAAGUUGAGCACCUGAUCGCUUUCGCAAGCUGUAAACUCAACCACACCGAAACCAGGUGAGAAAUGUUACAUGGGGUUGGUCCAUGAGCCAAAUCCCACACACCCUGAUCCAGACCUGCACUGCCUCAAUAUGGACUCCUGCCUACACGCUGCCCUGAAAGGAACCAAAACUUCCCUGCUCUGGGCUUGCGCUUUGUGAUCUGGCCAUCCAUGAAUGGUCCAAUCCGGCCUUGUUCUGCUAGAUCCAGCCACAUGCUGCCCAAUCCAGCAGAAUGCUUCUAUAUUUCUGACCCAUGCCACCCUGAUCCAGUCCUGUGCCAACUGAUCUAGCAAUGUGCUGCACCAACCUGGACCCAUGCUGGAUCUAACCCUGCACUUCCCAAUCUGAACUCACUGACCCCUACUCCAACUAGAGCAUCACCCAAUCCAGCUCUGUGCCAGCCAGCUCUAGCAUGCACAGACAUGUUAUCCAGCCCAUGGGGGCUCCUCCCCCCAGGAAAAUUUGCCAGCACGGAUGCAUUAAUUAAUAUUGCAACUGCUC